AGACCCAUGUUUAGCUUCGAAUUUCUUUUGCACAUUAUAUUUGUGUAAUGAAGCUAAAUAUUUUAGGAGCAUCAAAUUUUCGAAUUACGAAGAAUUCAAACUCGGCAGCAACAGAAUGACAAACAGAAGCUUCGAUUCGAAUUGAAUAUGUCACAGGUAAAAAAAGAAUUUGCUAUAACCUUUGACUAUAUACCUAUGGACUGCUAAUGGGCAGCCAUUGUGCGAUCCAAGAUCUCAGCGCCAUCAGGUACCAACGGCCAAACCAAGAACUAAUAACCAUAUAUUUCGUGAACAUUGUUUUAAGAAUAUAAUAUUCACAUUCUCUUAUACUACAAUAUAAAACAAAAUAUUCAUGGUCAUUGUAUUAAUAUGAUUUUUAAAAUGCUUUUUGAACAGUAAAAUUGUUGCACUUUUCAUGUUAAAUUGCAAAAUAACUUCAAAUUCUUUUCUUACUUACAAUAAAGCAUUAGGUACAUGAGAAUGUAGUACAAUAAAGUAUACUUGAAAGGAAAAAAUUAAGAAAAUAAAAACGUAAUCUUAAGAGACUAGAAA
Long non-coding RNA from Ooceraea biroi (clonal raider ant), 552 nucleotides. RefSeq lists it as uncharacterized. The record is from RefSeq and is a predicted model, not a curated record. Lineage: Eukaryota; Metazoa; Arthropoda; Insecta; Hymenoptera; Formicidae.